RNAcentral lists this ribosomal RNA (432 nucleotides) under uncultured bacterium. Its description in RNAcentral is "bacterial SSU rRNA". It matches the Rfam family "Bacterial small subunit ribosomal RNA", at positions 28 to 505 of the family's 1533-position model. The record is from RNAcentral.
GAUUAACGCUGGCGGUGUGUCUAAUACAUGCAAGUCGAGCGAGGCUUCGAGCCGAGCGGCGGACGAGCGAGUAACACGUUAGUACCUGCCCCGAACUCAGGGAUAACCCAUCGAAAGGUGUGGCUAAUACCGGAUAGUCCCGAAAGGGUAAAGAUUUUUCGGUUCGGGAGGGGCUUGCGGCCUAUCAGCUUGUUGGUGAGGUAAUGGCUCACCAAGGCUACGACGGGUAACUGGUCUGAGAGGAUGAUCAGUCGCGAUGGAACUGAGACACGGUCCAUACUCCUACGGGAGGCAGCAGUAGGGAAUCUUCCGCAAUGGACGAAAGUCUGACGGAGCAACACCGCGUGGUCGAUGAAGCCUUUUGGGGUGUAAAGACCUUUUCUGAGAGAAGAAUUAUGACGGUAUCUUAGGAAUAAGCACCGGCUAACUCCG